UCCUAUGUAAUUGAUGGAUUUGUGUGUGU
Molecule: non-coding RNA, 29 nt
Filed under: Mus musculus (house mouse)
Lineage: Eukaryota; Metazoa; Chordata; Mammalia; Rodentia; Muridae
Source: RNAcentral